RNAcentral lists this long non-coding RNA (515 nucleotides) under Fukomys damarensis (Damara mole-rat). RNAcentral's name for it is "lncRNA (ENSFDAG00000026671.1)". The record is from RNAcentral. Lineage: Eukaryota; Metazoa; Chordata; Mammalia; Rodentia; Bathyergidae.
CCGGAAUGUGGGUGGCUAUAAUGGCAGCCUGUAGGUUUGUAUGGAAAACAAGUAUGGCACUGUGAAAAAAUUCUUCUCUCACCCUACAGAUACCUGUACGGAGAGCUUGGGAGGCAUUUCCAUAGGCUCAUUGUCAAGUGAGUACUAAAGUCCCCAUUCAUUGGCAAGCAAAGGUAAGUCUGAAAACCGCACUGAAGAAAAAGGGGAAAGGGUGGGGAGUAGGGUGGAAUCACCUAGCAUCGCUGCAGCCUAACCAAGUGACAGACAGUUAGACAACUCCGAUGCUGCCAGAACAACACUCUGCACAGCCCACCAGCAAGCAAUUUGUCACAGCGACAAGAAUAUCCUCCGCAAUUUGGCACCAGGGUCCUUGGACAGCCAACUGCGCCUGUACAGCACGAGACGUGCUAUUCAGCAACAGGGAAGAUGGGAACCAAGAACACAUUAUGAAGUGCACACCCAGAAGUUUGCACACAGAAGCGUGUGGACUCACAGAGCACUUGAAGGAAGACUAA